Molecule: transfer RNA, 72 nt
Filed under: Dreissena polymorpha
Lineage: Eukaryota; Metazoa; Mollusca; Bivalvia; Myida; Dreissenidae
Rfam family: tRNA
About the family: Transfer RNA (tRNA) molecules are approximately 80 nucleotides in length. Their secondary structure includes four short double-helical elements and three loops (D, anti-codon, and T loops).
Source: Rfam by way of RNAcentral
GCGUUGGUGGUUUAUAGGUUAGCAUGGUUGCCUUCCAAGCAGUCGAUCCGGGUUCGAUUCCCGGCUAACGCA